This 339-nucleotide unclassified non-coding RNA is filed under the name soil metagenome. RNAcentral describes it as "partial contains 5.8S ribosomal RNA, internal transcribed spacer 2, and large subunit ribosomal RNA". The stretch from base 1 to 120 matches the Rfam family "5.8S ribosomal RNA", at positions 35 to 154 of the family's 154-position model. The record is from RNAcentral.
GAUGAAGAACGCAGCGAAAUGCGAUAAGUAGUGUGAAUUGCAGAAUUCAGUGAAUCAUCGAAUCUUUGAACGCACAUUGCGCCUUCCGGUAUUCCGGAAGGCAUGCCUGUCCGAGCGUCAUCAAAAACCACUCAAGUAGUUUUGCUUGGUUAUGAAAGAAGAGUUUGCUUGCAAAUUCCCUUUCGAAAUUCAAUGGCGGAGGGUCUCAUGAUUCCGGCGUAGUAAUAACUUAUUCGCUUGGUCAUUGUGACAAUCCUGCCUCAAACCCCCAAUUCUAGUGUUUGACCUCGGAUCAGGUAGGGAUACCCGCUGAACUUAAGCAUAUCAAUAAGCGGAGGA